UGGUACUAGGUAGGAUUUGCCAGCACAGC
This 29-nucleotide non-coding RNA is filed under the name Mus musculus (house mouse). Lineage: Eukaryota; Metazoa; Chordata; Mammalia; Rodentia; Muridae. The record is from RNAcentral.